Molecule: long non-coding RNA, 211 nt
Filed under: Elaeis guineensis (African oil palm)
Lineage: Eukaryota; Viridiplantae; Streptophyta; Magnoliopsida; Arecales; Arecaceae
Description: long non-coding RNA (EGUI_LNC028742)
Source: RNAcentral
CUGGACAGUCAGAUAUGGUAAGCAAUAUAAGCCAUCCGCCCACCAACAAUAGACGUCCUGUCAGCGACAAUCUAAUGGAUCAAGCUCAGGAAGGACGCCAACCAAGGAUCAGUACUUAGCUCCCAAGGGUAAUCACUCAUCUGUCUCCAGAUCGUCCUUGUCCUAAGGCAGCGCAGGACAGCAUGCUUCGCUGACUCAUCCUCCACCUCAU